UGGGGAAUAUUGGGCAAUGGGCGAAAGCCUGACCCAGCGACGCCGUGUGGGCGAUGAAGGCCUUCGGGUUGUAAAGCCCUGUGAGGUGGAAAGAAGGGCCCAGAGGUUAAUACCCUUUGGGCUUUGACGGUACCACCAGAGGAAGCACCGGCUAACUCCGUGCCAGCAGCCGCGGUAAUACGGAGGGUGCAAGCGUUGUGCGGAAUUACUGGGCGUAAAGGGCGCGGAGGUGGUUGGGUAAGUCAGAGGUGAAAUCCCGAGGCUCAACUUCGGAACUGCAUCUGAAACUGCAUGACUAGAGUACAGGAGAGGGAAACGGAAUUCCUGGUGUAGAGGUGAAAUUCGUAGAUAUCAGGAGGAACACCGGUGGCGAAGGCGGUUUCCUGGGCUGAUACUGACACUGAGGCGCGAAAGCGUGGGGAGCAAACA
Molecule: ribosomal RNA, 429 nt
Filed under: uncultured prokaryote
Description: bacterial SSU rRNA
Rfam family: Bacterial small subunit ribosomal RNA
Source: RNAcentral